CAAUAUUAUACAACCGAAACCGAUUUUUAUUGUAUCCAUGCAAGAUCACAAAACAUCAACUCAAAAGAUUCAAAUUAUACCCGCUUUUUGUUUUUUUUACUAGUAACCACUUUAAACGCCGAAUUCCAUUCAGUACCUUGCUUUGGCUUGUUACGAACAACCUGACUCCAAGCACCACUAGAGUUACCCAACUCUGAUUGAGACUUAUUGUUAGAUUGUUGCCCAUCUUUGCCAGUUAAAUCGGCUAUACGACGGCGAGUAAACUCACUAGCAAAGCGACGUCCAUCCAUAAUAGUACUAUUAGCAUAA
Molecule: non-coding RNA, 309 nt
Organism: Schizosaccharomyces pombe (fission yeast)
Lineage: Eukaryota; Fungi; Ascomycota; Schizosaccharomycetes; Schizosaccharomycetales; Schizosaccharomycetaceae
Source: the annotation of a GenBank genome assembly